Bos grunniens (domestic yak) is the source of this 3698-nucleotide long non-coding RNA. The record is from Ensembl. Lineage: Eukaryota; Metazoa; Chordata; Mammalia; Artiodactyla; Bovidae.
UUUCUUGUCUUGGGGUUGGAAGAAACGCCAAGUUUCUGUCAUUUGUCUCGGUGAGACGGUGGGUCACGUAGGGGAGCCACAGGUGACUUUGCCCGGGCCCGAAUCUUUCUGAUGCAUUCCUUGGAGAGAAAGCUUUAUUGCAAACGUUGUCCCCAGCUUCAUUCAAGAGAUGCGGAGAAAAGACCCAAACAAGUAGCGCUCCUGAAACUGCGUUGGGUGGCUGGGAUCUUCAGCUGUCUGCACGCUGCCCCUGACACUGACCGGCGACCUGCCUGUCUGGCCCUGGCUGCGAGCUCACCGUUGUCUCACUCUGCAGGAGAGAACCCAGAAGGUACCUGGAGACCCCCUGUCAUGUGGCUACCAACAGCAAGGGACCCCCAGCCACCUGGAUCAAAUUUGAGAUGCUUGUUGGAGGGGAGAGACCCUGCGAGUACUCACUUCUCCCACCUGCUGGGCUUUUGGUUUAUUUUUUUGGGAAACUUUCAUCCCUGGGAGUGUUUUCUUCCAGUCUUUUAUGAGUUGUGAACACACUUUAAUAUGAAGACUUUAAUUAUAUCCCGUAUCAGUAAUAAUCUUAGGAUUCUCUGCUCCAAGAAACUCAUCUUGACCAAAAAGCUGCUACAAACUGAGGAGCGUUUCCAUUCAGGGGUUUGUACGGUAGCAUCAUGCACACAGGCUUCCUGGGGGGCUCAGUGGUAAAGAACCUGUCUGCCAAUGCAGGAAGCACAGGAGACAGGUUCCAUCCCUGGAUGGGGAAGAUCCCCUGGAGGAGGAAAUGGUAACCCUCUCCAGUAUUCUUGCCCGGAGAAUCCCAUGGACAGAGGAGCCUGGUGGGCUACAGCCCAUGGGGUCUCAAAGGGUCGGACACGACUGAGCGACUGUACUUUCUUUCCUUACUGAGGGAGGCAUUGUGAGGGGAGGGAGGGUGGGCCCUGAGGCUGGCCCCUCGCUGGCCACCUGGGCCACUGAGAGAAGCUGAUGGUCCAAUGUUGUGAUCCCCAGACAGUCCUGGGGGCGGUGGGGGAGAGGAAGAGCUAUUGGUUGUUGCCCAUUCCCUCCGUGGAGCUGUGGGUGCUUGGAAAAGGCCUUGUGGCACGUGGCCCUUGGCCUCGGGGCUUGUCUUACCCGCACCCACACUGUUCUCUCCAGCCGCGGCCACACAGGGGCCCAGGCAGGUGAGGCUGAAGGGUGCUGUCCUACCCAUUCUGCGUGACCUUCGUCUUUAGGGCUCAAGGCUUUGCUUCGAUGUCUGGGCCCUGCUGUGCCGCCGCUGUUCAACGAGGUCACUGGAAGGCAGAUGCUGGGCCUUGGGGUAUGGCCAUUUGGUUGCCCUCAUUGUGUGGGGAGACCCUGGGGCCCCUGUAUGGGGUCUCUUCUCCUUGGCAGCCAGACUGUCUGAAGAAGCCUCUUCUCCACCGUGACUAGGAGGGCAGUGGUAGUCUGGGGCUGUCAGCUGUUCGGCAUCAGCAGCUGUGCUCAUAGUGGUACCAGGAGCCCUGUUACUGGUUCAGGAGAGGAACCCACAUGCCUGGAGUGAGAGCAGGGCCUCAAGGGAUCAGACUGAGCCCUGCACUUCCCGUGGGCCCCUGUCUUGCACUCUCCUGGCCUGGCUUACCCACACAAGUUGUGUCCAUUUAAAGGGUCAGGAGCUUUCUAAUCCCUCAAUACCUCGGGCAGACUUUUGAAGUUUAGUUUUUUGUUUUAAUCAGAGCAAUACAUGUACGUAGUUUGAAGAGUCAGUUGCCCAGAAGUAACCAGGCUUAUCAACAUUUUCUGUAUUCAUCUCCGUAUUUCUAAGCAGAUGUUUAAUAAUGUAUUGCAGUUCCUUACCACCUGUCUUUCUCCCCCACCCACCCAAAGCUCAGCUUCGUGUGGGAUUCUUUUACCCUUCUUGGAAGGUGAGGAGUGGACCUCCGUCUCAUUCGCAUCCUGACCUGUACAUCCUGUCUCCUGUCGUCCCUGGUGAGAGUGGCUGGACCAGCACACCCUGCGGCUGCCGUGGUCCAGAUGCGUGUGCUGGGAUCACUUUCUCUGUCUUCCAGGACGUCUUGUUUUCUUCUGGAGUUGUAUUUGCCUUUGCUUGGUAGUUUAUGUACUUACUGCUCCCUACCCCAACCCCCACUCCAAGCCAACACAGGUGUGCAAAUAUUCUCUUGGACACCUUGAGGUAUCCAGCUAGUUGUGUCUCUGGGAAACAGUCUCUGGUGUGCCUUUUGUCCCCAGGGGCCUGGCUGCCCUCCAGCCUCCCUGCUCAGCUCUAUCCCCGUCUCCUCCUCCAUGGUCCCAGGCGGGCCCUUUGUUCUUCUCUUGGCUCUCUUGAUCCCUGUUUUGUGGUUUCUUCCCACAGUUUGAUGGAGAGCAUUUCAUAAUAGCUUCCAAAGAAGAGAUGCAUUCAAGCUUUUUGAGACUUUGCUUGUCCAAAAAUGUCCUUAUUAUAACCCUUCACUUUUCAGUGUUUUAUUUAUCUUUUAUUCAUUUAUUUUUUCCAUGUCUGGAAACUUGUAGGAUUUUCUCUUUGUGUCUUUAUUCAAAAAUUCCUUGUAGCUAUGCCUUGUUGGGCAUCUAUAUGUAUUGUGCAGAGCACAUCAAGGCUCUUUCAAGCUGGAGACUCCGAUUUUUUAAAAUUAGUUCUUUAAUUUCUUUCCUCUCCCCCAAUUUUCUCUUCUUUCUUCCUAGAAUCACUUUUAUUUCAUGGUUAGCUGCUGGACUUGUUCUCUAUCUUUUAUUUCGUUGAGUUCUUUUAAGUUGUAGAGUAUAUCAACUUGGCUUUUAACUGGAUUUUAAAUUUUUGUUUUCAUUGUUAACUUCUAAGGACCUCUUUAUUUCUUUUUUGAUUAUUAUUAUUUUUACUUUAUUUAGACUUUACUUUUUGGACCAGUUUUACAGUUACUGCAAAAUUGAGCAGAAAAUAUGGAGAUUUACUGUUUAUACUCCUUGCUCUACUGCCCCCAAAUCUCCCCACUGUCAACAUCCCCAACCAGUGAAUGAAGGCGCUCCGUCGUGUCUGACUCUGUGCCACCCCUUGGACUGUAGCUCGAAAGGUCCUCUCUCCAUGGGGAUUCUGCAGGCCAGAAUUCUGGAGUGGGUAGCCUUUCCCUUCUCCAGGGGAUCUUCGCGACCCAGGGAUGGAGCCCAGGCCUCCUGCAGCGCAGGCGGGUUCUUCACCAGCUGCGCCUCCGGGGAGUGUGUCACAGGCGGUGGGCCUGCCGUGGAGCAUCACUGUCCGAACCACCGCCCCCGCUUUCAUGGCGCAGCACUGCUGUCUCACAUCACAGAUGCACGACUUUCUUAAACCUCUUUUUGGAUAUACUUCCUUUUUUGGGGGGAGGGGGGCUCUUUCUUCCAUAGUUUCUCUUCUCUCCAAUUUUUACAUUAUUUCUUUUUGUGCACUUUUGGCUUACCCAGAAAGCAGAGUUUAUGACAAGCAAGAACUUAUCUGUGGCUCAGAGGGUGAAGAAUCUGCAAUGCAGUAGACCCAGGUUUGAUCCCUGGGUCAGCAAGAUCCCCUGGAGGAGGAAAUGGCAACCCACUCCAGUACUCUUGCCUGGAGAAUCCCAUGAACAGAGGAGCCUGGUGGGCUACAGCCCAUGGGGUCUCAAAGGGUCGGACACGACUGAGCGACUGUACUUUCUUUCCUUACUGAGGAGGCAUUGUGAGGGAGGGAGGGUGGGCCCUGAGGCUGGCCUCGCUGGCCACCU